UCAGAUUGACUUAAGGUCGCCAGAACCUGUAGCAAGCCUACUAUACAUUUUGUGUACCUGAUAGAAUCCCAUACAUGAUCAAACAUAACAACAAAAACUUAAAUAUUUCCAUGAAAUCGAGCUCAAUCUGUGCAUGUAUCAUACUGAAAACAUAAAACCCAUACUAGAGCCCUCAUCAAAUGCUCUAGUAUGGUUAACAUCACAUGCCUCAAGCUUGGUUCAAACAUAAAUCAUAUUUAAAUUUUUACAUAAAGAUCAUGUUAACAGAGAUUACAAGGUAAAGAAAACUAGGGCCAAGCACAAUUCUAAUCCAUUAUACAUUACAUGUCCA
This 331-nucleotide long non-coding RNA is filed under the name Manihot esculenta (cassava). Its description in RNAcentral is "long non-coding RNA (MESC_LNC009341)". Lineage: Eukaryota; Viridiplantae; Streptophyta; Magnoliopsida; Malpighiales; Euphorbiaceae. The record is from RNAcentral.